This 254-nucleotide ribosomal RNA is filed under the name uncultured bacterium. Its description in RNAcentral is "partial 16S ribosomal RNA". It matches the Rfam family "Bacterial small subunit ribosomal RNA", at positions 524 to 776 of the family's 1533-position model. The record is from RNAcentral.
UACGUAGGGGGCUAGCGUUGUCCGGAAUCAUUGGGCGUAAAGCGCGUGUAGGCGGCUGGCCAAGCGUGGUGUGAAAUCUCCGGGCUCAACCCGGAAACUGCACUGCGAACUGGCCUGGCUGGAGUGCAGGAGAGGGAUGCGGAAUUCACGGUGUAGCGGUGAAAUGCGUAGAUAUCGUGAGGAACACCAGUGGCGAAGGCGGCAUCCUGGCCUGUAACUGACGCUGAGACGCGAAAGCGUGGGGAGCGAACCGG